GGGAAGAGAAUGACGGUACCUGGAGAAUAAGUCCCGGCUAACUUCGGGUCAUCAGCCGCGGUAAUACGAAGGGGACUGGCGUUGUUCGGGAUUACUGGGCGUAAAGUUCACGUAGGCGGAUUUGUAAGUCAGGGGUGAAAUCCCGGGGCUCAACCUCGGAACUGCCUUUGAUACUGCAAAUCUCGAGUCCGAUAGAGGUGGGUGGAAUUCCUAGUGUAGAGGUGAAAUUCGUAGAUAUUAGGAAGAACACCGGUGGCGAAGGCGGCCCACUGGAUCGGUACUGACGCUGAGGUGCCAAAGCGUGGGGAGCAAACAGGAUUACAUACCCUGUCACUUCUACCCUAAGAAUUUGGACGCUCUCUAUCGGAAUCCUUGUUUGUAGGUGGCGCAGCUAAUCCAUUGUUCAUCCCCCCCGGGGAGUACGGUCGCAAGAUUAAAACUCAAAGGAAUUGACGGGGGCCUGCACAAGCGGUGGAGCAUGUGGUUUAAUUCGAAGCAACGCGCAGAACCUUACCAGCUCUUGACA
This 526-nucleotide ribosomal RNA is filed under the name uncultured bacterium. Its description in RNAcentral is "bacterial SSU rRNA". It matches the Rfam family "Bacterial small subunit ribosomal RNA", at positions 442 to 986 of the family's 1533-position model. The record is from RNAcentral.